RNAcentral lists this ribosomal RNA (336 nucleotides) under uncultured bacterium. RNAcentral describes it as "bacterial SSU rRNA". It matches the Rfam family "Bacterial small subunit ribosomal RNA", at positions 173 to 507 of the family's 1533-position model. The record is from RNAcentral.
CGAUCUAUGGAUGAAANCGGGGAUCGCAAGACCUCGCGCGAUUGGANCGGCCGAUAUCAGAUUAGGUAGUUGGUGAGGUAAAGGCUCACCAAGCCGACGAUCUGUAGCUGGUCUGAGAGGACGACCAGCCACACUUGGGACUGAGACACGGCCCAGACUCCUACGGGAGGCAGCAGUGGGAAUUUUGGACAAUGGGCGCAAGCCUGAUCCAGCAAUGCCGCGUGCAGGAUGAAAGGCCUUCGGGUUGUAAACUGCUUUUGUACGGAACGAAACGGUGAGCUCUAAUACAGUUUGCUAAUGACGGUACCGUAAGAAUAAGCACCGGCUAACUACGUG